RNAcentral lists this ribosomal RNA (458 nucleotides) under uncultured Thiobacillus sp. Its description in RNAcentral is "bacterial SSU rRNA". It matches the Rfam family "Bacterial small subunit ribosomal RNA", at positions 919 to 1382 of the family's 1533-position model. Lineage: Bacteria; Pseudomonadati; Pseudomonadota; Betaproteobacteria; Nitrosomonadales; Thiobacillaceae. The record is from RNAcentral.
ACCCGCACAAGCGGUGGAUGAUGUGGAUUAAUUCGAUGCAACGCGAAGAACCUUACCUACCCUUGACAUGUCCGGAACUUGCCAGAGAUGGCUUGGUGCCCGAAAGGGAAUCGGAACACAGGUGCUGCAUGGCUGCCGUCAGCUCGUGUCGUGAGAUGUUGGGUUAAGUCCCGCAACGAGCGCAACCCUUAUCAUUAGUUGCUACGCAAGGGCACUCUAAUGAGACUGCCGGUGACAAACCGGAGGAAGUGGGGAUGACGUCAAGUCCUCAUGGCCCUUAUGGGUAGGGCUUCACACGUCAUACAAUGGUCGGUACAGAGGGUUGCCAAGCCGCGAGGCGGAGCCAAUCCCACAAAGCCGAUCGUAGUCCGGAUUGUUCUCUGCAACUCGAGAGCAUGAAGUCGGAAUCGCCAGUAAUCGCAGGUCAGCAUACUGCGGUGAAUACGUUCCCGGGUCUU